RNAcentral lists this ribosomal RNA (492 nucleotides) under uncultured bacterium. RNAcentral's name for it is "partial 16S ribosomal RNA". It matches the Rfam family "Bacterial small subunit ribosomal RNA", at positions 29 to 507 of the family's 1533-position model. The record is from RNAcentral.
AGUGAACGCUGGCGGUAGGCCUAGCACAUGCAAGUCGAACGGCAGCACAGUAAGAGCUUGCUCUUACGGGUGGCGAGUGGCGGACGGGUGAGGAAUACAUCGGAAUCUACUUUUUCGCGGGGGAUAACGUAGGGAAACUUACGCUAAUACCGCAUACGACCUACGGGUGAAAGCAGGGGAUCUUCGGACCUUGCGCGAUUGAAUGAGCCGAUGUCGGAUUAGCUAGUUGGCGGGGUAAAGGCCCACCAAGGCGACGAUCCGUAGCUGGUCUGAGAGGAUGAUCAGCCACACUGGAACUGAGACACGGUCCAGACUCCUACGGGAGGCAGCAGUGGGGAAUAUUGGACAAUGGGCGCAAGCCUGAUCCAGCCAUACCGCGUGGGUGAAGAAGGCCUUCGGGUUGUAAAGCCCUUUUGUUGGGAAAGAAAAGCAGCAGGUUAAUACCCCGCUGUUCUGACGGUACCCAAAGAAUAAGCACCGGCUAACUUCGUG